Long non-coding RNA from Sciurus carolinensis (gray squirrel), 429 nucleotides. RefSeq lists it as uncharacterized. NCBI's taxonomy places the organism in Eukaryota, Metazoa, Chordata, Mammalia, Rodentia, Sciuridae. The transcript is spliced from 2 exons. The record is from RefSeq and is a predicted model, not a curated record.
GACAGGGCUCCUGCGGUCAUUUGCAGGGCCCUGGAACAUCACUUGCUGAUGCAGGAGAAGCCACAAGACUAUGAACUGGGACAAAUCAUCUCCCAACAGCACAAAAUGAAGAUUCCAAAGAAUGCCAACGUCUUUUAUGCGAUGAAGCCACAUGUCAGGAGAGACUUCAUCCUGAGAAAGAGGACCUGUCCUCAGGAUGAAAAGGAUGACUGGAUCCCUCCCCAACCUCCCUCUUAUGAGGCAACUCAGGUGCGACAUCACCGCUGGAACCUGUGGACAAGAAUCUGCUCCUGUCUCUCUGGGCAGUGCUAAAGCAUUGCAUCAUGGAUGAUCAAUGAGAUUGACUUCUAAAAUGUUUACUCAUCAAUUCCAUACAUAAUUGGACCUUAAGUUUUGUUAUUUAAAAUAUGUUUCUGUAUUCUGAUCCAC